GCUAGGCAUGGUGGUGCAUGCCUGUAAUCCCAGCUACUCAGGAGGCUGAGGCAGGAGAAUCGCUUGAAUCCAGGAGGCGUAGGUUGCGGUGAGCCAAGAUCGCGCCACUGCACUCCAGCCUGGAUGACAGAGCGAGACUCCGUCUCAA
Molecule: unclassified non-coding RNA, 148 nt
Organism: Pongo abelii (Sumatran orangutan)
Lineage: Eukaryota; Metazoa; Chordata; Mammalia; Primates; Hominidae
Rfam family: Metazoan signal recognition particle RNA
About the family: The signal recognition particle (SRP) is a universally conserved ribonucleoprotein. It is involved in the co-translational targeting of proteins to membranes.
Source: Ensembl